Coffea eugenioides is the source of this 760-nucleotide long non-coding RNA. RefSeq lists it as uncharacterized. Lineage: Eukaryota; Viridiplantae; Streptophyta; Magnoliopsida; Gentianales; Rubiaceae. The record is from RefSeq and is a predicted model, not a curated record. The transcript is spliced from 3 exons.
UUUUUUUUGUUGUGAAACGAUAAGUAUUUGGAUUUUUAAUUGAAGCUUACCCUUUUAUGUCUUAGAGUGGGUGAAUAAUGCUGGGAGAUGGUACUUUAGAUUUGGCUUGGAUAGUUUUAACUGCCCUUUGAAUGAAGUAGCACACCCCUUGAUCAGCUGCUGAAAGGUUUUGGUGUCAAUUACUUGUCAAAGGGUUGCAGGAUCGUUACGAAAUAUCAUUGGAAAUUGCUGCUCUAACACAAAGACAUGUGAUGAGAUAUUCUUCUUCCUUUCCUGAAUUGAAGCCUAAAAGGGUGGCCGGGAGAGAAUAUUUGCCCUAGAAGUUAGUACCGAGAGAGGCAAACUGCGCAUCUCCAAGCUCAGGUGGGGCUCUUAAUGGGCACCUCUGAACAGGAGAGGAUAGGAGGUUGAGGGCUGAUAUUAAUAAGCAUUUUUUGUUCACUUCCAAUUGGUAAUGCAGAAUAUAAACUUUCUGUGAUCUUGCAAUCUUGUUUCUAUUCAUGCUUCUUGGUUUGGUUUGAAAGAGGAGGGGGACCGUAAUCUAGUUGCACUGAAGUAGACUACUUCAUGAAAUUUGUGGGAAGCAUAUUUAUAAUCAUUGAAGGUAUUGAUUACCCAUGUGUUUGGAGUCGCGAAGUUUAGGUUGAAAAUUGACUUAUAGCUUUCCAUAGUUCUUAGAUUUUCACUGCCUUGGCGAAUCAUUCUGCAGUUGAACUCCUAUGAUGUAUGAACCGGCUUUCUGUUUUCAUAGGGCAGAAGG